GAUGAAGAACGUAGCGAAAUGCGAUACGUAAUGUGAAUUGCAGAAUUCAGUGAAUCAUCGAAUCUUUGAACGCAUAUUGCGCUCUCUGGUAUUCCGGAGAGCAUGCUUGUUUGAGUAUCAGUAAACACCUCAACUCCCUUUUCUUUUUUGAAAUGGGAGCUGGACUUGAGUGAUCCCAACACUUUUCUCACUGGAAAGUGGCGGGUCACUUGAAAUGCAGGUGCAGCUGGACUUUUCUCUGAGCUAUAAGCAUAUCUAUUUAGUCUGCCUAAAAAACAGAUUAUUACCUUUGCUGCAGCUAACAUAAAGGAGAUGAGUUCUUAUGCUGACUGAUGCAGGAUUCACAGAGACAGCUUUGCGGCUGACUUUGUAAACUCGAUCUCAAAUCAAGUAAGACUACCCGCUGAACUUAAGCAUAUCAAUAAGCGGAGGA
Molecule: unclassified non-coding RNA, 433 nt
Filed under: soil metagenome
Description: partial contains 5.8S ribosomal RNA, internal transcribed spacer 2, and large subunit ribosomal RNA
Rfam family: 5.8S ribosomal RNA (bases 1-120)
Source: RNAcentral